Plodia interpunctella (Indianmeal moth) is the source of this 1517-nucleotide long non-coding RNA. RefSeq lists it as uncharacterized. The record is from RefSeq and is a predicted model, not a curated record. NCBI's taxonomy places the organism in Eukaryota, Metazoa, Arthropoda, Insecta, Lepidoptera, Pyralidae. The transcript is spliced from 4 exons.
CAAUUUUCCGAUUGAGACUACUUGAACCGUCACUGAAUUACAUUUUUAUUGUUCUUACAUUGUUAUAAGUAUUUAUUUAUUACGCUUUACAUUGGAUGGAGUCGUUUUUUGAUAAGCUACCCUACGUAAAUUCAUGUUGUUUUUUCAUACCUUUGAAAUAUGGAUGUGGUAUUAUAGCAGUUUACUAUAUGAUCUGGGGUGCUGUAAUAGGCCCCGACUAUGGCAGAGGAACGGUCCUUUCAGUCACCGUCGGAAAUAAAACCAAGAAUUACACGCAAUACACGUGCUUCGCAGGCAGUGAGAAAGAGAAAUGCGCUCAAUAUAAGAUAUUUAACAGUAUCUUAGUACUGUUAUUGAUUAUCAUUUACCAAAUCUCAAUACGGGUUGCCAGUUUGGUGUUGCUCGUCGGCAUUUAUAUUAAUAAUGUUAUGACUACUCUAUCUUUUUUAUACGUCUACGCUAUUGCUACGAUCUUUGAUAUAAUUGUCUUCAUUAUGAUAAUGGGGAUUGGUAUAUUGGGCAACUGUCCGACAACAGCAGUGAGCAAGCUAUCAUGUAUAGUUUCGUUAAUAUGUUUACUUAUUGGGAGUUUUUAUAUACUUAUCAUUGUAAACAGUUUAAAAACACAAUUUCAAGAUGAGUGAUGAAAAGGGGUAAUGAGAUUUUGACAAUGAUGUAAUUUUUGAUAAGAGCUUUAAUCUUCUGAUAUCAUAUUGCAUUCAAACCUCUGAAUAAGAAAUAAAAUCUGCCUUGACGCUCUAAACUUGCGUGUUAUUUACUAGAGAGAGACCUUGCAGUAAGUACAACAUCCACCAAGUACCUAUACGAACCUAUUGGGUACAGCACUUUGGUUGAUUAUUUGAUGGUGACUCAUAAGUACAUUACAACUACAAGUAUAUCUAGGGGCUUACCAUCAUCUCUUAACGCGAUCCACUUUACCACCUAAACUGAACUGCAUCGCAAAUUCGUACCAUCGACUUAAUUUUUUCUAUGAAUGCGAUUCAUUUUAGGUGCCUUGCAUUGAAAUCGUAUUGAUGGUAGGCCUUCUGGUAUAAAUACAUCUUUUAAGAGUGUAUAUGUAUACACUAAUUAUAUAACGAUAAAGUAUAGUGCCCAGCCCAACUUAUCGGUAAUGUGGUAAGUGUAAUCUUUAAUCAGUGCAUUAAAACUAAAAUUAGUUUAAUUUUACAAAUUUCUGACAAAAUAGUCAUGUGCGUAUAGUAUUAGGCCAUGCAUAUUAUAUUGACACAUUGGUCGUCUAAAAACUAAACAUGUAUAAGUACAAAAUUUUAUCUCUAUUAUUUAUCGGGGCUGAUGAGGGUUCAAAAAACCGGCGAAACGGUAAAAAUACCAUAGUAACUAGAAUCUCGAUAAAGUUAUGUGUGCCUUUUAGCGUUUUGUUUGGCUCGUGUUGGUUGGGACCACUUUGGGACACUGUCGUGACCGCAGAUAUAUUAAAUAACAAACAAAUAAAUGUACGUUACAAUACAACUUUUCCAUUGAAAUAAACAAUUUGA